Molecule: long non-coding RNA, 1169 nt
Filed under: Cricetulus griseus (Chinese hamster)
Lineage: Eukaryota; Metazoa; Chordata; Mammalia; Rodentia; Cricetidae
Description: lncRNA (ENSCGRG00015032786.1)
Source: RNAcentral
ACAUCACGUGUCUUCUCGGCUGGAGGAAGUGACUCAGGCUGGAUAUGGCUUCUGAGGUGACCUGGACUCAGAUGGACCUCUUCCCGAGCUCCCAGGUCAAAGUGUUGUGUUUAGGGGAGGGACAAAAAGCAUCUGGGGCAGGGCUAGGUGGUUCAUGUUAAAAUCUUUUUGGAGUUGUGUAGCUCGCUCUCCACAAUACUGCUUUGAAGGCAGUCAGGAUUAUUUCACUUCCAUUUCUUCUUGCAAAGUCAAAAUGACAGGUGUGUGACUUGGAGGGGAGAGGCGGCUUGUCCUACAUCCAACCAGCAGUGACCCAAAUUCCUGCCCAGCUCUCUGCCUGCCAGGCUGUGGUCAGCUUCCUGUAGCCUCCUUCUUCACGUUGUCCAAAUUCAUAUCCCCUCUGAAUUUGGUGUGUACCCAUUGUGUCUGGUGUGAAAAUGCCACACACAGAAACCUCUCCCAGCACCUGGGAGAGAGCCUGACAAGGGCUUCACCAAUUUCUUGGUUUUCAUGCAUUUUCAGGAGCAUUGUUAUCAGAGCUCCAAGCGGAGUGGGAAAGUCUCUCACACAAGAGCAAAUUGAAAUUCAACAAAAUUAAAUAACUUGCCCAAGGCCAUGCAGCUCUUUGCCCAGUCAUUGUGAGUCAUAAUUAACCGUCUGGAUCCCAGAUAGAAAGAAAUCGCCGACCAACAACGUGACAGUGGGAAAUUAACCAUCUAGAGAGCCUUCACCCAGUAGCUGACGGAAGCAGAAGCAGACACCCAUAGCUAAGCACUGAGAUGAACUCCUGGAAUCCAGUUGGAGAAAGGCAGCAGUGAUGAGCAAAGGGGUCAAGACCAGGCUGGAGAAACCCACAGAAACAGCUGACAUGAACAAGGGGGAGCUCAUGGUCCCCAGAAUGAUAGCUAGGAAACCAGCAUAGGACUGAUCCAGACCCCCCUGAACAUAUCAUACAUGCCCCAAAUGUGGGGAGUGGCCCCUUCAGAAAGCAAAAUGUCUACCAAAAAUUCCUAAAGCGGGUGUUGAGCAACUUCCAAGCCAAGAGCCUGCCUUGGUGUGAGAGCUACGAUGGACACUGUGACUGUCAACGUGACUGGGGUUAAACUCAUCAAGGCAGCACACUUCUGGGCAUGCCGAUGACUGUGUUUCCAGGAGACUUAACUGCGGAG